AGCAUGGGUGUUUUUGCUUACCUUGUAGACAAAAACUUAUAGACAGGUGCAAAAAAAAAAAUUCCACAUUUCCAACCCAGAACCCAUUGUUCAGUAAUGAAUUUUAAUCCAUGUAAGAAAGAAUAUU
RNAcentral lists this small nucleolar RNA (127 nucleotides) under Heterocephalus glaber (naked mole-rat). RNAcentral's name for it is "Small nucleolar RNA SNORA40 (ENSHGLG00000046791.1)". It matches the Rfam family "Small nucleolar RNA SNORA40". From Rfam's summary of the family: The snoRNA ACA 40 belongs to the H/ACA family of snoRNAs and guides the pseudouridylation of 28S rRNA subunit at position U4565. Lineage: Eukaryota; Metazoa; Chordata; Mammalia; Rodentia; Bathyergidae. The record is from RNAcentral.